UACGUAGGGGCAAGCGUUGUCCGGAUUUAUUGGGCGUAAAGAGCGUGUAGGCGGUUUGGUAGGUCCGCUGUGAAACUCGAGGCUCAACCUCGAGACGCCGGUGGAAACCAUCAGACUAGAGUCCGGAAGAGGAGAGUGGAAUUCCUGGUGUAGCGGUGAAAUGCGCAGAUAUCAGGAAGAACACCCGUGGCUAAGGCGGCUCUCUAGUACGGUACUGACGCUGAGACGCGAAAGCGUGGGGAGCGAACAGG
Molecule: ribosomal RNA, 251 nt
Filed under: uncultured bacterium
Lineage: Bacteria
Description: partial 16S ribosomal RNA
Rfam family: Bacterial small subunit ribosomal RNA
Source: RNAcentral